GACGAACGCUGGCGGCGUGCUUAACACAUGCAAGUCGAACGAUGAAGCCUUUCGGGGUGGAUUAGUGGCGAACGGGUGAGUAACACGUGGGCAAUCUGCCCUGUACUUUGGGAUAAGCCUUGGAAACGAGGUCUAAUACCGGAUAUGACUGGCCUUCGCAUGGGGUUGGUUGAAAGUUCUGGCGGUACAGGAUGAGCCCGCGGCCUAUCAGCUUGUUGGUGGGGUAAUGGCCUACCAAGGCGA
RNAcentral lists this ribosomal RNA (243 nucleotides) under uncultured Actinomycetes bacterium. Its description in RNAcentral is "uncultured actinobacterium partial 16S ribosomal RNA". It matches the Rfam family "Bacterial small subunit ribosomal RNA", at positions 28 to 276 of the family's 1533-position model. The record is from RNAcentral. Lineage: Bacteria; Bacillati; Actinomycetota; Actinomycetes.